RNAcentral lists this ribosomal RNA (254 nucleotides) under uncultured bacterium. RNAcentral describes it as "partial 16S ribosomal RNA". It matches the Rfam family "Bacterial small subunit ribosomal RNA", at positions 524 to 776 of the family's 1533-position model. The record is from RNAcentral.
UACAGAGGGGGCAAGCGUUGUCCGGAUUUAUUGGGCGUAAAGAGCUCGUAGGUGGUUCGGUAAGUCAGGUGUGAAACCUCCAGGCUCAACCUGGAGACGCCACUUGAUACUGCUGUGACUGGAGUCCGGUAGGGGAGCGUGGAAUUCCUGGUGUAGCGGUGAAAUGCGCAGAUAUCAGGAGGAACACCAGCGGCGAAGGCGGCGCUCUGGGCCGGUACUGACACUGAGGAGCGAAAGCGUGGGUAGCAAACAGG